UCGCGUAUGGCGCUCGCGAGCUUCGUCAAGAACCGCGAAGUUCAGGGCAGCGAGCGCGGUGAUUGUCAUUCGGGAAUGUAAUUACUUAGGAAAUACUUUAUAUAAUACUGUGCAAUGUGAUUUAAUGGAGUAUUCUCUUUGUUUCUCACAAUCCUCCUACGCCUGUGUGGUUGGGCGAAUGCAAAUCGCAAUGGCCAUACCAUUGAACAUGAAUUUUUGAUAACGAAUAUUGUUUUCUAUGGCUGCGCAGAAUUGGAGUCAAGACAAAAAGGGGAAUAAUAAGAAGCAACAUUUAUCAUUUUGAUUAGCAUUUAUGUUUUAAGACAUUUAGGUUGGAUUAAUAAUUACUUAUUUGAAGUGAGAAACAAGCCUGAAAAUAUUGCAAACUGAGUGUAAUAGAAAAAUCAUCAAAAUUAACAAGUGGUGACCUUAACGAAGAAAUCGCCGCCGUCCAAAAUAAAUAAAGGUGACUACUAAUGUCGUGCUUA
Hermetia illucens (black soldier fly) is the source of this 488-nucleotide long non-coding RNA. RefSeq lists it as uncharacterized. The transcript has 2 exons. The record is from RefSeq and is a predicted model, not a curated record. NCBI's taxonomy places the organism in Eukaryota, Metazoa, Arthropoda, Insecta, Diptera, Stratiomyidae.